This 118-nucleotide ribosomal RNA is filed under the name Chloroflexota bacterium. Lineage: Bacteria; Bacillati; Chloroflexota. The record is from RNAcentral.
CAGUGGCGCAUCAGGCAGGCGGACCCACUGGUUCCCUUCCCGAACACCAAAGUGAAACGCCUUCCCCGCCCACAAUACUGGAGGGGCAACCCCCCGGCAAGAUAGGCCGCACCAAACC